CCUACGGGAGGCAGCAGUGGGGAAUAUUGGACAAUGGGGGCAACCCUGAUCCAACCAUGCCGCGUGUGUGAAGAAGGCCCUCGGGUUGUAAAGCACUUUCAGUGAGGAAGAACGCCUGGUGGUUAAUACCCAUCAGGAAAGACAUCACUCACAGAAGAAGCACCGGCUAACUCCGUGCCAGCAGCCGCGGUAAUACGGAGGGUGCGAGCGUUAAUCGGAAUUACUGGGCGUAAAGCGCGCGUAGGUGGCUUGAUAAGCCGGUUGUGAAAGCCCCGGGCUCAACCUGGGAACGGCAUCCGGAACUGUCAAGCUAGAGUGCAGGAGAGGAAGGUAGAAUUCCCGGUGUAGCGGUGAAAUGCGUAGAGAUCGGGAGGAAUACCAGUGGCGAAGGCGGCCUUCUGGACUGACACUGACACUGAGGUGCGAAAGCGUGGGUAGCAAACAGGAUUAGAUACCCGAGUAGUC
Molecule: ribosomal RNA, 465 nt
Filed under: Vreelandella stevensii
Lineage: Bacteria; Pseudomonadati; Pseudomonadota; Gammaproteobacteria; Oceanospirillales; Halomonadaceae
Description: partial 16S ribosomal RNA
Rfam family: Bacterial small subunit ribosomal RNA
Source: RNAcentral